Molecule: ribosomal RNA, 429 nt
Filed under: Gemmatimonadota bacterium
Lineage: Bacteria; Pseudomonadati; Gemmatimonadota
Description: Gemmatimonadetes bacterium partial 16S ribosomal RNA
Rfam family: Bacterial small subunit ribosomal RNA
Source: RNAcentral
UAGGGAAUCUUCGGCAAUGGACGAAAGUCUGACCGAGCAACGCCGCGUGAGUGAAGAAGGUUUUCGGAUCGUAAAACUCUGUUGUUAGAGAAGAACAAGGACGUUAGUAACUGAACGUCCCCUGACGGUAUCUAACCAGAAAGCCACGGCUAACUACGUGCCAGCAGCCGCGGUAAUACGUAGGUGGCAAGCGUUGUCCAGAUUUAUUGGGCGUAAAGCGAGCGCAGGCGGUUUCUUAAGUCUGAUGUGAAAGCCCCCGGCUCAACCGGGGAGGGUCAUUGGAAACUGGGGGACUUGAGUGCAGAAGAGGAGAGUGGAAUUCCAUGUGUAGCGGUGAAAUGCGUAGAUAUAUGGAGGAACACCAGUGGCGAAGGCGGCUCGAUGGACUGUAACUGACGAUGAGGCUCGAAAGCGUGGGGAGCAAACAGG